RNAcentral lists this ribosomal RNA (460 nucleotides) under uncultured bacterium. RNAcentral describes it as "partial 16S ribosomal RNA". It matches the Rfam family "Bacterial small subunit ribosomal RNA", at positions 338 to 795 of the family's 1533-position model. The record is from RNAcentral.
CCUACGUGGGGCAGCAGUGAGGAAUAUUGGUCAAUGGCCGAGAGGCUGAACCAGCCAAGUCGCGUGAGGGAAGACGGCCCUACGGGUUGUAAACCUCUUUUGUCGGGGAGCAAAGAGAGUCACGUGUGACUCAUUGAGAGUACCCGAAGAAAAAGCAUCGGCUAACUCCGUGCCAGCAGCCGCGGUAAUACGGAAGGUCCGGGCGUUAUCCGGAUUUAUUGGGUUUAAAGGGAGCGUAGGCCGGUCUUUAAGCGUGCCGUGAAAUUUUGUGGCUCAACCAUGAGAGUGCGGCGCGAACUGGAGACCUUGAGUGCGCGGAAGGCAGGCGGAAUUCGUGGUGUAGCGGUGAAAGGCUUAGAUAUCACGAAGAACCCCGAUUGCGAAGGCAGCCUGCCGCAGCGUUACUGACGCUGAAGCUCGAAAGCGCGGGUAUCGAACAGGAUUAGAUACCCCAGUAGUC